CGGAGUGUAGCGCAGCUUGGUAGCGUACCUGGUUUGGGACCAGGUGGUCGAAGGUUCAAAUCCUUUCACUCCGACCA
This 77-nucleotide transfer RNA is filed under the name Bathymodiolus thermophilus thioautotrophic gill symbiont. RNAcentral describes it as "tRNA-Pro-TGG". It matches the Rfam family "tRNA". From Rfam's summary of the family: Transfer RNA (tRNA) molecules are approximately 80 nucleotides in length. Their secondary structure includes four short double-helical elements and three loops (D, anti-codon, and T loops). Further hydrogen bonds mediate the characteristic L-shaped molecular structure. tRNAs have two regions of fundamental functional importance: the anti-codon, which is responsible for specific mRNA codon recognition, and the 3' end, to which the tRNAs corresponding amino acid is attached (by aminoacyl-tRNA synthetases). tRNAs cope with the degeneracy of the genetic code in two manners: having more than one tRNA (with a specific anti-codon) for a particular amino acid; and 'wobble' base-pairing, i.e. permitting non-standard base-pairing at the 3rd anti-codon position. Lineage: Bacteria; Pseudomonadati; Pseudomonadota; Gammaproteobacteria. The record is from RNAcentral. RNAcentral also lists the same sequence under 4 other names.